Non-coding RNA from Acanthosepion pharaonis, 110 nucleotides. The record is from the annotation of a GenBank genome assembly. NCBI's taxonomy places the organism in Eukaryota, Metazoa, Mollusca, Cephalopoda, Sepiida, Sepiidae.
UUACGGCCACAUCUCGUUGAAACACCAAUACCCGUACGAUCACCGAAAUUAAGCAGCGUUGAGCUUGGUCAGUACCGAGAUGGGUGACCGUUUAGGAAGAGCAGAAAGUG